RNAcentral lists this ribosomal RNA (429 nucleotides) under uncultured bacterium. RNAcentral's name for it is "bacterial SSU rRNA". It matches the Rfam family "Bacterial small subunit ribosomal RNA", at positions 355 to 786 of the family's 1533-position model. The record is from RNAcentral.
UGAGGAAUAUUGGUCAAUGGGCGUAAGCCUGAACCAGCCAAGUAGCGUGCAGGAAGACGGCCCUACGGGUUGUAAACUGCUUUUAUGCGGGGAUAAAGUGCAAUACGUGUAUUGCUUUGCAGGUACCGCAUGAAUAAGGACCGGCUAAUUCCGUGCCAGCAGCCGCGGUAAUACGGAAGGUCCGGGCGUUAUCGAUUAUGGGUUAAAGGAGCGCAGGCCGCCCCUUAAGCGUGUUGUGAAAUGCCGCGGCUCAACCGUGGCACUGCAGCGCGAACUGGGGGGUCUUGAGUGCGCCGGAGGUAGGCGGAAUUCGUGGUGUAGCGGUGAAAUGCUUAGAUAUCACGAAGAACUCCGAUUGCGAAGGCAGCCUACCGUAGCGUUACUGACGCUGAGGCUCGAAGGUGCGGGUAUCGAACAGGAUUAGAUACC